RNAcentral lists this ribosomal RNA (494 nucleotides) under uncultured bacterium. RNAcentral's name for it is "partial 16S ribosomal RNA". It matches the Rfam family "Bacterial small subunit ribosomal RNA", at positions 28 to 507 of the family's 1533-position model. The record is from RNAcentral.
GACGAACGCUGGCGGCGCGCUUAACACAUGCAAGUCGAACGGAAAGGCCUGCUUUCCCUUGUGGAUUGCGGGUACUCGCGUGGCGAACGGGUGAGUAACACGUGAGUGAUCUGCCCCCAACUUGGGUAUAAGCCUGGGAAACUGGGUCUAAUUCCCGAUAGGACUGCAGGGUGGUGCCUGUGGUGGACAACGAUUUUCUAGUGGUUGGGGAUGAGCUCGCGGCCUAUCAGCUUGUUGGUAGGGUAAUGGCCUACCAAGGCGGCGACGGGUAGCCGGCGUGAGAGGGUGGACGGCCACAUUGGGACUGGGAUACGGCCCAGACGCCUACGGGAGGCAGCAGUGUGGAAUAUUGCACAAUGGGCGGAAGCCUGAUGCAGCGACGCCGCGUGGGGGAUGACGGCCUUCGGGUUGUAAACUCCUUGCGACCGCGAGGAAGCCACCUGGUUGGAAGGGUGGUGACGGUAGUGGUAGAAGAAGCACCGGCUAACUACGUG